Ictalurus punctatus (channel catfish) is the source of this 361-nucleotide long non-coding RNA. Lineage: Eukaryota; Metazoa; Chordata; Actinopteri; Siluriformes; Ictaluridae. The record is from Ensembl.
UAGUAUCUAACUGUGUAACGUGAGCGUGUACAAUACGAGUGCGCAGGAUGUAGCUGUGUAACGUGAGUGCGUAGGAUCUAACUGUGUAACGUGAGUGCGUAGGAUGUAGCUGUGUAACGUGAGUGCGUAGGAUGUAGCUGUGUAACGUGAGUGCGUAGGAUGUAGCUGUGUAACGUGAGUGUAGGAUCUAACUGUGUAACGUGAGUGUAGGAUCUAACUGUGUAACGUGAGUGUAGGAUCUAACUGUGUAACGUGAGUGCGUAGGAUCUAACUGUGUAACGUGAGUGUAGGAUCUAACUGUGUAACGUGAUUGUAGGAUCUAACUGUGUAACGUGAGUGUAGGAUCUAACUGUGUAACGUG